Molecule: unclassified non-coding RNA, 377 nt
Filed under: uncultured Pseudobdellovibrionaceae bacterium
Lineage: Bacteria; Pseudomonadati; Bdellovibrionota; Bdellovibrionia; Bdellovibrionales; Pseudobdellovibrionaceae
Description: uncultured Bdellovibrionaceae bacterium contains 16S-23S intergenic spacer region
Source: RNAcentral
UCCGGUUUAACACCGGCAGUCCUUUUAGAGUGCCCAACUAAAUGCUGGCAACUAAAAGCAAGGGUUGCGCUCGUUGCGGGACUUAACCCAACAUCUCACGACACGAGCUGACGACAGCCAUGCAGCACCUGUGUACCGGCUCUUGCGAGCGACGACAUCUCUGCCAGUCUUCCAGUACAUGUCAAAAGUAGGUAAGGUUCUUCGCGUUGCAUCGAAUUAAACCACAUACUCCACCGCUUGUGCGGGCCCCCGUCAAUUUCUUUGAGUUUUAAUCUUGCGACCGUACUCCCCAGGCGGGAUACUUACCGUGUUAACUGCGUCACUGAAGGGGUCAAUACCUCCAACAACAAGUAUCCAUCGUUUACGGUGUGGACUAC